GAUGAAGAACGCAGCGAAAUGCGAUAAGUAAUGCGAAUUGCAGAAUCCGUGAGUCAUCGAAUCUUUGAACGCACAUUGCGCCCUUUGGUAUUCCGAAGGGCAUGCCUGUUCGAGCGUCAUUAUCACCCCCCAAGCCCCGGCUUGGUGUUGGGCUCUCGGUGGUCGUCUCCGACCACCCGUCUCAAAGAUAGUGACGGCGUCCCAGAGGGAACCGGUACGAGGAGCUUUCACGAGCAUGUACGCGGGACGACUCUGCGGGCGACGGUCUUAUUUACUUUAUAUACAAGUGUUGACCUCGGAUCAGGUAGGAAUACCCGCUGAACUUAAGCAUAUCAAUAAGCGGAGGA
This 347-nucleotide unclassified non-coding RNA is filed under the name soil metagenome. RNAcentral describes it as "partial contains 5.8S ribosomal RNA, internal transcribed spacer 2, and large subunit ribosomal RNA". The stretch from base 1 to 119 matches the Rfam family "5.8S ribosomal RNA", at positions 35 to 154 of the family's 154-position model. The record is from RNAcentral.